Molecule: ribosomal RNA, 315 nt
Filed under: uncultured fungus
Lineage: Eukaryota; Fungi
Description: SSU rRNA
Rfam family: Eukaryotic small subunit ribosomal RNA
Source: RNAcentral
UAACCUGCUAAAUAGUUAGGCCAACGUUUGUUGGUCGUCAACUUCUUAGAGGGACUAUUGACUAUUAGUCAAUGGAAGUUUGAGGCAAUAACAGGUCUGUGAUGCCCUUAGAUGUCCUGGGCCGCACGCGCGCUACACUGAUCAAGUCAACGAGUUUACAACCUUGGCCGGAAGGUCUGGGUAAUCUUUUGAAACUUGAUCGUGUUGGGGAUAGUCCAUUGCAAUUAUUGGACUUCAACGAGGAAUUCCUAGUAAGCGUGAGUCAUCAGCUCGCGCUGAUUACGUCCCUGCCCUUUGUACACACCGCCCGUCGCU